CGCAUCUGUGCAUGCAGCAUAUCAAUAAGCGGAGGAAAAGAAACUAACAAGGAUUCCCCUAGUAACGGCGAGUGAAGCGGGAAGAGCUCAAAUUUGAAAUCUUAAAGGGUUUCCCUUUACGAAUUGUAGUUUAAAGAAGUGUUUUCUGCUGAAGUUUUGGUAAAAGUUCUUUGGAAUAGGACAUCAUAGAGGGUGAGAAUCCCGUAUUUGACCUUUACUUUCAACUUUGUGAUACACUUUCAAAGAGUCGGAUUGUUUGGGAAUGCAGUCCAAAAUGGGUGGUAAAUUUCAUCUAAAGCUAAAUAUUGGCGAGAGACCGAUAGCGAACAAGUACCGUGAGGGAAAGAUGAAAAGAACUUUGAAAAGAGAGUUAAACAGUACGUGAAAUUGUCAAAAGGGAAGCGUUUGACACCAGUGUUGUUUUCUCGAAAAUCAAUUAAAAAUGGCUCGAUUUUGUAUUGCUGAGACCUUAAAAGCUCACUGUACAUUUUUCGUGUCUUUUUUAAUGCACUUUUCGUUUAACAAGUCAACAUCAGUUUCUUUUGUUGUAAAAGGGUCAUUGGAAGGUGGCUUUCUUUUCGGAGAAAGUGUUUAUAGCCUCCUGGCCUAUGCAAUCGGAGAGAUUGAGGUCUGCAGCGUAGGACUCCUUCGGGGCUAGAUACAUUUGUGCUAAGUUAUAGCAUUUUAUAGACAACUUGUUGACUAUAAUUAGUCUUGUAGCUUACUCGCUUAUGCUAUUUUACCUACGCUUAGGAUGUUGAUAGUCACAGCGUGUAC
RNAcentral lists this ribosomal RNA (777 nucleotides) under uncultured Neocallimastigales. RNAcentral's name for it is "partial large subunit ribosomal RNA". It matches the Rfam family "Eukaryotic large subunit ribosomal RNA", at positions 26 to 625 of the family's 3401-position model. The record is from RNAcentral. Lineage: Eukaryota; Fungi; Neocallimastigomycota; Neocallimastigomycetes; Neocallimastigales.